Molecule: ribosomal RNA, 394 nt
Filed under: uncultured bacterium
Lineage: Bacteria
Description: partial 16S ribosomal RNA
Rfam family: Bacterial small subunit ribosomal RNA
Source: RNAcentral
CCUACGGGUGGCAGCAGUGAGGAAUAUUGGUCAAUGGACGAGAGUCUGAACCAGCCAAGUCGCGUGAAGGAUGAAUGCCCUAUGGGUUGUAAACUUCUUUUAUAAAGGAAUAAAACGAGGCACGUGUGCCCUUAUGAAUGUACUUUAAGAAUAAGGAUCGGCUAACUCCGUGCCAGCAGCCGCGGUAAUACGGAGGAUCCGAGCGUUAUCCGGAUUUAUUGGGUUUAAAGGGAGCGUAGACGGGUUGUUAAGUCAGUUGUGAAAGUUUGCGGCGCAACCGUAGAAUUGCCAUUGAUACUGGCAGUCUUGAGUAGAGUAGAGGUAGGCGGAAUUCGUGGUGUAGCGGUGAAAUGCAUAGAUAUCACGAAGAACCCCGAUUGCGAAGGCAGCUUAC